Molecule: transfer RNA, 77 nt
Filed under: Thomasclavelia spiroformis
Lineage: Bacteria; Bacillati; Bacillota; Erysipelotrichia; Erysipelotrichales; Coprobacillaceae
Description: [Clostridium] spiroforme (gut metagenome) tRNA-Arg
Rfam family: tRNA
About the family: Transfer RNA (tRNA) molecules are approximately 80 nucleotides in length. Their secondary structure includes four short double-helical elements and three loops (D, anti-codon, and T loops).
Source: RNAcentral
GCCCUCGUAGCUCAAUUGGACAGAGCGUGCGCCUCCUAAGCGUAAGGUUGUGGAUUCGAUUUCCGCCGAGGGCGCCA